Molecule: small nuclear RNA, 143 nt
Organism: Bison bison bison
Lineage: Eukaryota; Metazoa; Chordata; Mammalia; Artiodactyla; Bovidae
Gene: U1
Rfam family: U1 spliceosomal RNA
About the family: U1 is a small nuclear RNA (snRNA) component of the spliceosome (involved in pre-mRNA splicing). Its 5' end forms complementary base pairs with the 5' splice junction, thus defining the 5' donor site of an intron.
Source: Ensembl
AUACUUACCUGGCGAUCACCAAGGUGGUUUUCCCAGGUCAGUCCUUCGCACUCCACAUGUGCUGACUCCUGCAAUUCCCCAGACGUGGGAAGUUCGCCUGCAUAAUUUGUGGUAGUAGGGGACUGUGUUCACGUGUUCCCCUG